AUGGGGCAAAUGAUGAAUCUUAUUAUAUCGUAAAUGGGUAAUUUGCGUCUGAAUUUUUCAUUGAUGCUAUAUCACCUUGGAGAACUGAUGCCCUUA
This 96-nucleotide small nucleolar RNA is filed under the name Nicotiana sylvestris (wood tobacco). The record is from RNAcentral. Lineage: Eukaryota; Viridiplantae; Streptophyta; Magnoliopsida; Solanales; Solanaceae. RNAcentral also lists the same sequence under 1 other name.